RNAcentral lists this ribosomal RNA (277 nucleotides) under uncultured bacterium. Its description in RNAcentral is "partial 16S ribosomal RNA". It matches the Rfam family "Bacterial small subunit ribosomal RNA", at positions 78 to 354 of the family's 1533-position model. The record is from RNAcentral.
UCUUUCUCCGCCGGCGACCGGCGCACGGGUGAGUAACACGUAUGCAACCUGCCCCUGUCAGGGGGACAACCCGCCGAAAGGCGGGCUAAACCCGCGUACAUGCCACCGGGGCAUCCCGGAGGCAGGAAAGGCUUCGGCCGGACAGGGAUGGGCAUGCGGCGCAUUAGGCAGUAGGCGGGGUAACGGCCCGCCUAACCGACGAUGCGUAGGGGUUCUGAGAGGAAGGUCCCCCACACUGGUACUGAGACACGGACCAGACUCCUACGGGAGGCAGCAG